UCAGGCCUAACACAUGCAAGUCGAGCGGUAGCGGGGAGAGCUUGCUCUUUGCCGACGAGCGGCGGACGGGUGCGUAACACGUAGGAAUCUGCCUGGUAGUGGGGGAUAGCCCGGAGAAAUCCGGAUUAAUACCGCAUACGCCCUACGGGGGAAAGCAGGGGAUCUUCGGACCUUGCGCUAUCAGAUGAGCCUGCGUCGGAUUAGCUGGUUGGUGGGGUAAAGGCCUACCAAGGCGACGAUCCGUAGCUGGUCUGAGAGGAUGAUCAGCCACACUGGGACUGAGACACGGCCCAGACUCCUACGGGAGGCAGCAGUGGGGAAUAUUGCACAAUGGGCGAAAGCCUGAUGCAGCCAUGCCGCGUGUGUGAAGAAGGCCCUAGGGUUGUAAAGCACUUUCAGUGGGGAGGAAAGGUUGAAGGUUAAUACCCUUUGGCUGUGACGUUACCCACAGAAGAAGCACCGGCUAACUCCGUGCCAGCAGCCGCGGUAAUACGGAGGGUGCGAGCGUUAAUCGGAAUUACUGGGCGUAAAGCGUGCGUAGGCGGCUACCUAAGUUGGAUGUGAAAGCCCCGGGCUCAACCUGGGAACUGCAUCCAAAACUGGGUGGCUAGAGUACGGGAGAGGAGUGUGGAAUUUCCUGUGUAGCGGUG
This 650-nucleotide ribosomal RNA is filed under the name uncultured bacterium. RNAcentral describes it as "bacterial SSU rRNA". It matches the Rfam family "Bacterial small subunit ribosomal RNA", at positions 42 to 683 of the family's 1533-position model. The record is from RNAcentral.